GACGAACGCUGGCGGCGUGCUUAACACAUGCAAGUCGAACGGAAAGGCCCUGCUUUUGUGGGGUGCUCGAGUGGCGAACGGGUGAGUAACACGUGAGUAACCUGCCCUUGACUUUGGGAUAACUUCAGGAAACUGGGGCUAAUACCGGAUAGGAGCUCCUGCUGCAUGGUGGGGGUUGGAAAGUUUCGGCGGUUGGGGAUGGACUCGCGGCUUAUCAGCUUGUUGGUGGGGUUGUGGCUUACCAAGGCUUUGACGGGUGGCCGGCCUGAGAGGGUGACCGGCCACAUUGGGACUGAGAUACGGCCCAGACUCCUACGGGAGGCAGCAGUGGGAAAUUUAGCACAAUGGGCGGAAGCCGUAUGCAGCAACUCCGCGUGCGGGAUGACGGCCUUCGGGUUAGAAACCGCUUUCGCCUGUGACGAAGCGUGAGUGACGGUAAUGGAUAAAGAAGCAACGGCUAACUACGUG
RNAcentral lists this ribosomal RNA (468 nucleotides) under uncultured bacterium. RNAcentral describes it as "partial 16S ribosomal RNA". It matches the Rfam family "Bacterial small subunit ribosomal RNA", at positions 28 to 507 of the family's 1533-position model. The record is from RNAcentral.